RNAcentral lists this ribosomal RNA (491 nucleotides) under uncultured bacterium. RNAcentral describes it as "partial 16S ribosomal RNA". It matches the Rfam family "Bacterial small subunit ribosomal RNA", at positions 29 to 506 of the family's 1533-position model. The record is from RNAcentral.
AGUGAACGCUGGCGGUAGGCCUAACACAUGCAAGUCGAACGGCAGCACAGUAAGAGCUUGCUCUUACGGGUGGCGAGUGGCGGACGGGAGAGGAAUACAUCCGAAUCUACUUUUUCGUGGGGGAUAACGUAGGGAAACUUACGCUAAUACCGCAUAUGACCUACGGGUGAAAGCAGUGGAUCUUCGGACCUUGCGCGAUUGAAUGAGCCGAUGUCGGAUUAGCUAGUUGGCGGGGUAAAGGCCCACCAAGGCGACGAUCCGUAGCUGGUCUGAGAGGAUGAUCAGCCACACUGGAACUGAGACACGGUCCAGACUCCUACGGGAGGCAGCAGUGGGGAAUAUUGGACAAUGGGCGCAAGCCUGAUCCAGCCAUACCGCGUGGGUGAAGAAGGCCUGCGGGUUGUAAAGCCCUUUUGUUGGGAAAGAAAAGCAGCAGGUUAAUACCCCGCUGUUCGGACGGUACCCAAAGAAUAAGCACCGGCUAACUUCGU